RNAcentral lists this ribosomal RNA (253 nucleotides) under uncultured bacterium. RNAcentral's name for it is "partial 16S ribosomal RNA". It matches the Rfam family "Bacterial small subunit ribosomal RNA", at positions 524 to 776 of the family's 1533-position model. The record is from RNAcentral.
UACGUAGGUGGCAAGCGUUAUCCGGAAUUACUGGGCGUAAAGCGCACGCAGGCGGUCUUUUAAGUUUGACGUGAAAGCUCCCGGCUUAACUGGGAGAGGUCGUUGAAUACUGGGAGACUUGAGGCAAUGAGAGGGGUGUAGAAUUCCUGGUGUAGUGGUGGAAUGCGUAGAUAUCAGGAGGAAUACCAGUGGCGAAAGCGGCACCCUAGCGUUGUUCUGACGCUCAUGUGCGAAAGCGUGGGGAGCAAACGGG